Molecule: ribosomal RNA, 667 nt
Filed under: uncultured bacterium
Lineage: Bacteria
Description: bacterial SSU rRNA
Rfam family: Bacterial small subunit ribosomal RNA (bases 1-507)
Source: RNAcentral
CCUACGGGAGGCAGCAGUAGGGAAUAUUGGUCAAUGGGCGAGAGCCUGAACCAGCCAUGCCGCGUGCAGGAAGAAGGCCCUCUGGGUUGUAAACUGCUUUUGACAGGGGCCAAAAUACUCAUGCGUGAGGAAUUGAGAGUACCUGUAGAAUAAGCACCGGCUAACUCCGUGCCAGCAGCCGCGGUAAUACGGAGGGUGCAAGCGUUGUCCGGAUUUAUUGGGUUUAAAGGGUGCGUAGGUGGCCUUAUAAGUCAGUGGUGAAAGCCUGCAGCUUAACUGUAGGACUGCCAUUGAUACUGUAGGGCUUGAGUACUGAUGAGGUAGGCGGAAUUGAUAGUGUAGCGGUGAAAUGCAUAGAUAUUAUCAAGAACACCGAUUGCGAAGGCAGCUUACUAAGGAGUUACUGACACUGAGGCACGAAAGCGUGGGGAUCAAACAGGAUUAGAUACCCUGGUAGUCCACGCACAACAUANAUACUCAUGUAUGNGAUAGAGUAGUAGUAGCGUCCGAACGACGGAAAGGAACGGUUAAAGGUUAAAGUUACCGUUACCGUUACGGGGUAGGGUUACGGUUACCGGACCGAACGGUUAGGUUAAACGUUAAAGUUAAGUUAAGUUAGUUACGGCGUUGAGACGNGCCGACGGACGACGACGAGGGAAGGUAGGAG